RNAcentral lists this ribosomal RNA (401 nucleotides) under uncultured bacterium. RNAcentral's name for it is "bacterial SSU rRNA". It matches the Rfam family "Bacterial small subunit ribosomal RNA", at positions 28 to 476 of the family's 1533-position model. The record is from RNAcentral.
GAUGAACGCUGGCGGCGUGCUUAACACAUGCAAGUCGAACGAACCUUCGGGUUAGUGGCGGACGGGUGAGUAACGCGUGAGAAUCUGCCCUCAGGAGGGGGAUAACGGCUGGAAACGGCCGCUAAUACCCCAUAUGCCGAGAGGUGAAAUGAAUUUCGCCUGAGGAUGAGCUCGCGUCUGAUUAGCUAGUUGGUGUGGUAAAGGCUCACCAAGGCAUCGAUCAGUAGCUGGUCUGAGAGGAUGAUCAGCCACACUGGGACUGAGACACGGCCCAGACUCCUACGGGAGGCAGCAGUGGGGAAUUUUCCGCAAUGGGCGCAAGCCUGACGGAGCAACGCCGCGUGAGGGAUGAAGGCCUCUGGGCUGUAAACCUCUUUUAUCAAGGAAGAAGAUCUGACGGU